This 190-nucleotide non-coding RNA is filed under the name Terriglobia bacterium. RNAcentral's name for it is "6S RNA". It matches the Rfam family "6S / SsrS RNA". Rfam says of the family: E. coli 6S RNA was the first non coding RNA to be sequenced, but its function was unknown until recently. It consists of 184 nucleotides that fold into an extended hairpin structure with a large single-stranded internal bulge. Lineage: Bacteria; Pseudomonadati; Acidobacteriota; Terriglobia. The record is from RNAcentral.
GCCGGCCUACGAAGUUGGUGAUGGUGGUAACCGAUUUUUGAACCAACACCUGAAUGAACGGGGGCCCGACUCGACAUAGAUCCGGUGUGCCAUGCUCCGCCACGCGGAGACGCCUAAAGGGUCUCGGCGGGUUCCCACACGUCUCUAGACGGUUCAUUCUCGGCCCACCACACGGCUCAGUGGGUCGGCU